Triticum aestivum (bread wheat) is the source of this 79-nucleotide non-coding RNA. Lineage: Eukaryota; Viridiplantae; Streptophyta; Magnoliopsida; Poales; Poaceae. The record is from Rfam.
AUGGAUGAAGAUAUGCACUGGGCUCUGAGCAGCGAACAUCACUGUGGUCUGAAUUUGCCUAGAAAGCAUUGUCUGACAG